This is a non-coding RNA of Xyrichtys novacula (pearly razorfish), 104 nucleotides long. The record is from the annotation of a GenBank genome assembly. NCBI's taxonomy places the organism in Eukaryota, Metazoa, Chordata, Actinopteri, Labriformes, Labridae.
GACAGAAGCUUGUAUGACGACUGGGCGUCCCUUUGCCUUCCCAGCCCCUUAUGUAUGAUUCCAGGCAUAGGAUGACAAAGGGAAGUCCAUAGGUCACAUGUCUG